This 492-nucleotide ribosomal RNA is filed under the name uncultured bacterium. RNAcentral's name for it is "partial 16S ribosomal RNA". It matches the Rfam family "Bacterial small subunit ribosomal RNA", at positions 29 to 507 of the family's 1533-position model. The record is from RNAcentral.
AGUGAACGCUCGCGGUAGGCCUAACACAUGCAAGUCGAACGGCAGCACAGUAAGAGCUUGCUCUUACGGGUGGCGAGUGGCGGACGGGUGAGGAAUACAUCGGAAUCUACUUUUUCGUGGGGGAUAACGUAGGGAAACUUACGCUAAUACCGCAUACGACCUACGGGUGAAAGCAGGGGAUCUUCGGACCUUGCGCGAAUGAAUGAGCCGAUGUCGGAUUAGCUAGUUGGCGGGGUAAAGGCCCACCAAGGCGACGAUCCGUAGCUGGUGUGAGAGGGUGAUCAGCCACACUGGAACUGAGACACGGUCCAGACUCCUACGAGAAGCGGCAGUGGGGAAUAUUGGACAGUGGGCGCAAGCCUGAUCCAGCCAUACCGCGUGGGUGAAGAAGGCCUUCGGGUUGUAAAGCCCUUUUGUUGGGAAAGAAAAGCAGCAGGUUAAUACCCCGCUGUUCUGACGGUACCCAAAGAAUAAGCACCGACUAACUUCGUG